GUCAUAUGCUUGUCUCAAAGAUUAAGCCAUGCAUGUCUCAGUACAAGCCAUAUUAAGGUGAAACCGCGAAAGGCUCAUUAAAUCAGUUAUGGUUCCUUAGAUCGUACUCACAAUUACUUGGAUAACUGUGGUAAUUCUAGAGCUAAUACAUGCAAACAGAACUCCGACCGGAGACGGAAGGAGCGCUUUUAUUAGAUCAAAACCAAUCGGUGGCGGGUUCGCUCGUCAUCGUACAACUCGGUGACUCUGAAUAACUUUACGCUGAUCGCACGGUCAUCGCACCGGCGACGCAUCUUUCAAAUGUCUGCCUUAUCAACUGUCGAUGGUAGGUUCUGCGCCUACCAUGGUUGUAACGGGUAACGGGGAAUCAGGGUUCGAUUCCGGAGAGGGAGCCUGAGAAACGGCUACCACAUCCAAGGAAGGCAGCAGGCGCGCAAAUUACCCACUCCCGGCACGGGGAGGUAGUGACGAAAAAUAACGAUACGGGACUCAUCCGAGGCCCCGUAAUCGGAAUGAGUACACUCUAAACCCUUUAACGAGGAUCAAUUGGAGGGCAAGUCUGGUGCCAGCAGCCGCGG
RNAcentral lists this ribosomal RNA (578 nucleotides) under Semiathe sp. ARC1338. RNAcentral describes it as "SSU rRNA". It matches the Rfam family "Eukaryotic small subunit ribosomal RNA", at positions 23 to 579 of the family's 1831-position model. Lineage: Eukaryota; Metazoa; Arthropoda; Insecta; Coleoptera; Curculionidae. The record is from RNAcentral.